UUUUGUCUCUUGUGUAUGUUAGGAGAUGGAUGUAAGACCAACGAUUGGCAUUCCGUAUCCUAUUGUUGUGUGCUUGGAGUCCGAUGUAAGUCCAUUGAUUGGCAUUUGGUUUCUAGUGUGGGUUUGUUGGUUCGGAGUCUGAUGUAAGUCCAGCAAUUGGCAUUCGGUUUCCAUGUUUACCUGUUUGUGUGGAGUUUGACGUAAGUCCAGCGAUUGGCAGUCGAUUUCCUCUGUGGUUUGGUUUGGCGUGCGUUAG
RNAcentral lists this long non-coding RNA (256 nucleotides) under Lathyrus oleraceus (garden pea). RNAcentral describes it as "Pisum sativum (pea) long non-coding RNA (PSAT_LNC029947)". The record is from RNAcentral. Lineage: Eukaryota; Viridiplantae; Streptophyta; Magnoliopsida; Fabales; Fabaceae.